GAGAGUGUGGUGUAGUGGUUUGAAUGUUGGACUACAACUCUUCACACCAGGGUUCAAAUCCCUACUCAGCCA
Molecule: non-coding RNA, 72 nt
Organism: Phrynosoma platyrhinos (Desert horned lizard)
Lineage: Eukaryota; Metazoa; Chordata; Lepidosauria; Squamata; Phrynosomatidae
Source: the annotation of a GenBank genome assembly